This 466-nucleotide ribosomal RNA is filed under the name uncultured bacterium. Its description in RNAcentral is "partial 16S ribosomal RNA". It matches the Rfam family "Bacterial small subunit ribosomal RNA", at positions 28 to 506 of the family's 1533-position model. The record is from RNAcentral.
GACGAACGCUGGCGGCGUGCUUAACACAUGCAAGUCGAACGGAAAGGCCCUGCUUUUGUGGGGUGCUCGAGUGGCGAACGGGUGAGUAACACGUGAGUAACCUGCCCUUGACUUUGGGAUAACUUCAGGAAACUGGGGCUAAUACCGGAUAGGAGCUCCUGCUGCAUGGUGGGGUUGGAAAGUUUCGGCGGUUGGGGAUGGACUCGCGGCUUAUCAGCUUGUUGGUGGGGUAGUGGCUUACCAAGGCUUUGACGGGUAGCCGGCCUGAGAGGGUGACCGGGCAGAGUGGGACUGGGAUACGGCCGAGACGGCUAAGGGAGGCAGCGGUGGGGGAGAUAGGACAAUGGGCGGAAGGCAGAUGGAGCACGGCCGCGUGGGGGAAGACGGCCUUGGGGUUGUAAAACGCUGUCGCGUGUGACGAAGCGUGGGUGACGGUAAUGAGUAAAGAAGCACAGGCUAACUACGU